CAUGCACUGGUGGGGUCCCUCGGCCUGGCCUGCAGACAUCUCCUGAGGGGUCCCAGAUUGCAAGAGGGAGCAGGCCAGGCCGAGGGACCCCACCAGUGCACA
Non-coding RNA from Myotis brandtii (Brandt's bat), 102 nucleotides. The record is from Rfam. Lineage: Eukaryota; Metazoa; Chordata; Mammalia; Chiroptera; Vespertilionidae.